GAUGAAGAACGUAGCGAAAUGCGAUAAGUAAUGUGAAUUGCAGAAUUCAGUGAAUCAUCGAAUCUUUGAACGCACCUUGCGCCCUUUGGCUAUUCCGAAGGGCAUGCCUGUUUGAGUAUCAUGAACACCUCAACUCUCAUGGCUUGCCAUGAUGAGCUUGGACUUUUGGGGGUCUUGCUGGCCUGUGGUCAGCUCCUCUCAAAUGAAUUAGCCUGCCAGUGUUUGGUGGCAUCACAGGUGUGAUAACUAUCUACGCUUGUGGUUUUCCACCAGGUAACCUUCAGUGAUGAAGGUUCGCUGGGGCUCAUAAACGUCUCUCCUCAGUGAGGACAGCUCUUUGAACGUUUGAUCUCAAAUCAGGUAGGACUACCCGCUGAACUUAAGCAUACAAUAAGCGGAGGA
This 402-nucleotide unclassified non-coding RNA is filed under the name soil metagenome. RNAcentral describes it as "partial contains 5.8S ribosomal RNA, internal transcribed spacer 2, and large subunit ribosomal RNA". The stretch from base 1 to 121 matches the Rfam family "5.8S ribosomal RNA", at positions 35 to 154 of the family's 154-position model. The record is from RNAcentral.